Molecule: long non-coding RNA, 1632 nt
Filed under: Olea europaea subsp. europaea
Lineage: Eukaryota; Viridiplantae; Streptophyta; Magnoliopsida; Lamiales; Oleaceae
Source: RNAcentral
CAGGGAAGUCAUCUUCGUCAUUUUGCCCUACCUUCAAAGACAGCCCUUUCUACCCAAUACCAUUCGUCGCACAAACCCAGCCAAAGUGAAAUCGACUCUGGCGCGAACCUCCACCUCAAGUCGGCGAUAAAGCGGCGCAGCGAAGAACACCCAAAGUAAUUUGUUCGUGACUGCCGCACUAACCCACCCAAAGUGAAAUCGACCGUCGCGCUAAACUCCUUCUCCUCCGGCGGAAUAUGCAACUAACAUUCGGUAAGCAUUAUGUUGGGCAUAUCUAUAUUUGCACAAACUAGUGCUCAUUCGUAAGGCUGAAGAACAUAAAUGAAGAUCUGUGAAAUGAAAAUUUAAAAAUUACUUGUAGUUUGGUGUGGAGCCUCCAUUCAGUUAGACAAGAAAUUGCUCGCUAUUUACAAUCUGGCAAUCUUGGAAGGUUCAACCGCAAGUCCGUCACCCAUGAUUUGAGGGGGUGGCUGCAUUCCACUAGUCACAAACUGUAGCCUGCAAAUAGGGCAAGUCUAGCUUCUAACCACAGUUGAUGAUCACAGGAUGUGGUUGCUUGGAUUAGAGUAUUUUAUGUAUUAUAGAGUAUUUUGGUCACAAACUGUAGCCUACAAAUAGACUCCCAGGUUAUUGAAGUCAACUUGAUUAGCCAGCAUUAUCACUUGAGGGGUUCCUGAUGUUCCAAAAUAAUGGGGUGUGGAUGGUAUAGACAAAUUUAAUUGGAAUUUCUUGCACUGAAAACUUUAGGUAGAACUUCCAUGGAUCACUAAGAUUAGAGGAUGAUGGUGAAAGGUAGAACUUUCCCAAUCUCUUGUGCUUAAAUCCAUUGCAUUUGUACCAUCUAAUACUCUGGACCUACAAAUGAUGUAUAGUUCUAUUCCUUUUAUCAGCUUCUAUACAACGGUAAAUGUGAUUGUUACGAGAUAUUUGAACCCAUGAGUUUGUGUUUAUUAUAUUUUCAAUCUUAUGCAUGUAUAAUUAAUCAUGUAACUACAUCUUCGAGUCUAUCUUUUUGACGAGUUUGUUUCAUUUGCAAUAAUCGGCUAUAAUGAGAUGAAAGAAUUUUGGAGUCUAUCACGAUUGCAGAAGCAACACACACUAUGUCAGACAAUGCCAGUUAAAACGUCGAUGCCCUAGUUGUGACCAUGGAUAUCGAAAAUGUGUUGAGGUCAAACAGGAUACUGCUAACAAUGGUCGAUUGUUCUUUACCUGUAGUAACGAAUGUGGGUAUUUCGAUUGGGUGAAAGAUGAAGCUUUAGGCGGGGAAUCGAGUUCCAUUAAUGAUGCUGUCAAUGAGGCACCCGACAGGGAAGACAAAAACUUGCCAAGAUUAUUUAAUGGGCUAGCCAAAAUUAGCGAGAAACAAGGCGUCGACAUUUCAUUGCAUAUGACUUUUAGCAAGGGAAAAGAAAUUGAGAAAUGUGACGGGAAAGGAAAGAGCUCGAUUUAAAGGGGUGAUUUGAGUCAUGUCUUCACUUGAAGCACUAGUAUGAUGUGAAUUUCACUUUGUAUAAUGAUAUAUUGGUUUUAUGUAUGUGUAAUCUGCAUUUCAAUGUGGUUUGUAAGACAAAAAUGGAUGAGUAAGGAUCAUAGUUGGUGAACACCAUGAUUGCAGCGUGGGUUAAUGUAUCC